UACAGAGGGUGCAAGCGUUGUUCGGAAUUAUUGGGCGUAAAGGGAGUGUAGGCUGUUUCUUAAGUCUUCUGUGAAAUCUACGGGCUUAGCCUGUAACGUGCAGAGGAAACUGGGAGACUUGAGUGUCGGAGAGGAUAGGGGAAUACCCGGUGUAGAGGUGAAAUUCGUAGAGAUCGGGUGGAACACCAGUGGCGAAGGCGCCUAUCUGGCUGACAACUGACGCUGAGACUCGAAAGCAUGGGGAGCAAACAGG
This 253-nucleotide ribosomal RNA is filed under the name uncultured bacterium. Its description in RNAcentral is "partial 16S ribosomal RNA". It matches the Rfam family "Bacterial small subunit ribosomal RNA", at positions 524 to 776 of the family's 1533-position model. The record is from RNAcentral.